RNAcentral lists this transfer RNA (87 nucleotides) under Felis catus (domestic cat). It matches the Rfam family "tRNA". Rfam says of the family: Transfer RNA (tRNA) molecules are approximately 80 nucleotides in length. The record is from Rfam by way of RNAcentral. Lineage: Eukaryota; Metazoa; Chordata; Mammalia; Carnivora; Felidae.
GCCUGGGUGGCUCAGUCGGUUGAACACCUGAUUUCGACUCAGGUUGUGACCUUGAGGGGUUUGUGGGUGUGAGCCCCACGUCGGGCU